This 179-nucleotide ribosomal RNA is filed under the name Staphylococcus aureus. RNAcentral describes it as "partial 16S ribosomal RNA". It matches the Rfam family "Bacterial small subunit ribosomal RNA", at positions 1 to 174 of the family's 1533-position model. The record is from RNAcentral. Lineage: Bacteria; Bacillati; Bacillota; Bacilli; Caryophanales; Staphylococcaceae.
UUUACGGAGAGUUUGAUCCUGGCUCAGGAUGAACGCUGGCGGCGUGCCUAAUACAUGCAAGUCGAGCGAACGGACGAGAAGCUUGCUUCUCUGAUGUUAGCGGCGGACGGGUGAGUAACACGUGGAUAACCUACCUAUAAGACUGGGAUAACUUCGGGAAACCGGAGCUAAUACCGGAU